This 254-nucleotide ribosomal RNA is filed under the name uncultured bacterium. RNAcentral's name for it is "partial 16S ribosomal RNA". It matches the Rfam family "Bacterial small subunit ribosomal RNA", at positions 524 to 776 of the family's 1533-position model. The record is from RNAcentral.
UACAGAGGGUGCAAGCGUUGUUCGGAAUUAUUGGGCGUAAAGCGCGUGUAGGCGGCCUGGCAAGUCGGGUGUGAAAGCCCUCAGCUCAACUGAGGAGGUGCGCCCGAAACUGCUAUGGCUUGAGUGCCGGAGAGGGUGGCGGAAUUCCCCAAGUAGAGGUGAAAUUCGUAGAUAUGGGGAGGAACACCGGUGGCGAAGGCGGCCACCUGGACGGUGACUGACGCUGAGACGCGAAAGCGUGGGGAGCAAACAGG